CGCAAACUUUUUUUUCGAUAUGAACUCUAAAAAAAAAUAACGCUGUUAUCCCUAAGGUAAUUUAAUCUUAUAAUCAUAAAUUAUGGAUCAUUUAUUCAUAUAUCAAUGUUUUAAUAUAAAAAAAGUUAAUUUAAUUUUUUAGUUGCCCCAACUAAAUAUUUAUAUAAAUACUUAAAUCUAAAAUACUUAAACUUUCAAAUAUAAAUAUAAAUAUAAAAUUCUAUAGGGUCUUCUCGUCUUUUAAAAUUAUUUAAGCUUUUUUACUUAAAAAUAAAAUUCUAAUUUAAAUUAAAUUGAGACAGCUUUUCUCUCGUCAAACCCUUCAUACCAGUUCUCAAUUAAAAAACUAAUUAUUAUGCUACCUUUGCACGGUCAAAAUACCGCGGCCAUUUAAAAAUAUUAUUCAUAGGGCAGGUCAGACUUUAUAUUAUUAUCAAAAAGACAU
RNAcentral lists this ribosomal RNA (445 nucleotides) under Scarabaeus flavicornis. Its description in RNAcentral is "partial 16S ribosomal RNA". Lineage: Eukaryota; Metazoa; Arthropoda; Insecta; Coleoptera; Scarabaeidae. The record is from RNAcentral.